This 487-nucleotide RNase P RNA is filed under the name Postia placenta Mad-698-R. RNAcentral's name for it is "Nuclear RNase P". It matches the Rfam family "Nuclear RNase P". From Rfam's summary of the family: Ribonuclease P (RNase P) is a ubiquitous endoribonuclease, found in archaea, bacteria and eukarya as well as chloroplasts and mitochondria. Its best characterised activity is the generation of mature 5'-ends of tRNAs by cleaving the 5'-leader elements of precursor-tRNAs. Cellular RNase Ps are ribonucleoproteins. RNAcentral also lists the same sequence under 1 other name. Lineage: Eukaryota; Fungi; Basidiomycota; Agaricomycetes; Polyporales; Adustoporiaceae. The record is from Rfam by way of RNAcentral.
ACAGCACCAAAGCCGCGAUGCUCGCCCCGUACAGGUUGCCCUGCGCGACUUCUCUUGCGAGCGGGCUAAGGUCUGAGCACUCUAGUCCUCCUCGAUCGACCCCAGCCGGGUCCAGUCGUAAUCGACUGCGCGACGUACCAGACACAUUGCCUGAAGUACCAUUGGUGCUAUACAACACCAAAUGACCAUGAUGUCUGCAGAGUUUGGCUGACAGGUCGAACCUGUGGUCAUGAGGUAGUACUUUCUGGCAUUGAGACAUGUCGCGAGGACCGGGCAGACAUGCUAUCGUACUAGCAGUCUGUGGUACUCCUCUUGCAACGACCUCGAGGCAUUUCGUAUGCACAACAUUACUAUUUGGUUGUCCCUUUGAGGGCUAGAGGCUUCAUGCAGAGUGUUGUGACACAGAUAUUGUUUGUCCUUCACUUCGCGGCUCGCACAUCUGGCUUCAUGCCUGUGCGCAACUCGAUUCAGACUACUCUGGUGCUGU